CUGAGAUUAGUGACAGGGAGACUUCCUGUUGUCCCUCAGAGACGCUCAGUGUCUCAGCAGCAACAUGUCCCUCAGCUCUGCAGCCUGGAGGAACCACAGCCUGGGUCUGGUUCUGGGGGGGGGGCGGGACCCGCCUCUGUCCGACCAGGGAGAGACCAUCAUCGGAGUCUACCUGCUGCUGCUGGGUGGGUGAGAGACACCAGAUGGUGGUUGUCCUGGUUUGGAAACAGCAUCGUCCUCUUCGUCCUCUACAGACAGAGAGCCGUCCUGCAGCCCAGUGACUACCUGACCUUUAACCUCGCCGUCUCCGACGCCAGCAUCUCCGUGUUCGGAUACUCCAGAGGCAUCAUCGAGAUCUUUAACGUCUUCCAGGACAGCGACUACCUCAUCUCCUCCAUCUGGACCUGCCAGGUACCUGAGACACAUCUGAGACACACCUGAGACAGAUCUGAGACACACCUGAGACUCACCUGACACACACAAGACACACCUGACACACACAAGACACACCUGAGACUCACCUGAGACAAACAUGAGACUCAUCUGAGACACACCUGAAGGUCACCUGAGACACACCUGAGACAUAUCUGAGACACAUCUGAGAGUCACCUGAGACACACCUGAGACACACCUGAGACACACCUGAGACUCAUCUGGGACUCACCUGAGACACACCUGAGACACACCUGAGACACACCUGAGACACACCUGAGACAUACAGUGG
This is an RNA transcript of Sebastes umbrosus (honeycomb rockfish), 724 nucleotides long. It is a transcript of the gene named opsin-5-like, with no coding region annotated. The transcript is spliced from 2 exons. Lineage: Eukaryota; Metazoa; Chordata; Actinopteri; Perciformes; Sebastidae. The record is from RefSeq and is a predicted model, not a curated record.